UACGUAGGGGGCAAGCGUUGUCCGGAUUUAUUGGGCGUAAAGGAUGCGUAGGCGGACAUUUAAGUCAGAUGUGAAAUACCCGAGCUUAACUUGGGUGCUGCAUUUGAAACUGGGUGUCUAGAGUGCAGGAGAGGUAAGUGGAAUUCCUAGUGUAGCGGUGAAAUGCGUAGAGAUUAGGAAGAACACCAGUGGCGAAGGCGACUCUUUGGCCUGUAACUGACACUGAGGCGCGAAAGCGUGGGGAGCAAACAGG
This 253-nucleotide ribosomal RNA is filed under the name uncultured bacterium. RNAcentral's name for it is "partial 16S ribosomal RNA". It matches the Rfam family "Bacterial small subunit ribosomal RNA", at positions 524 to 776 of the family's 1533-position model. The record is from RNAcentral.